AGUGAACGCUGGCGGUAGGCCUAACACAUGCGAGUCGAACGGCAGCACAGUAAGAGCUUGCUCUUACGGGUGGCGAGUGGCGGACGGGUGAGGAAUACAUCGGAAUCUACUUUUUCGUGGGGGAUAACGUAGGGAAACUUACGCUAAUACCGCAUACGACCUACGGGUGAAAGCAGGGGAUCUUCGGACCUUGCGCGAUUGAAUGAGCCGAUGUCGGAUUAGCUAGUUGGCGGGGUAAAGGCCCACCAAGGCGACGAUCCGUAGCUGGUCUGAGAGGAUGAUCAGCCACACUGGAAGUGAGACACGGUCCAGACUCCUACGGGAGGCAGCAGUCGGGAAUAUUGGACAAGGGGCGAAAGCCUGAUCCAGCCAAACCGCGUGGGUGAAGAAGGCCUUCGGGUUGUAAAGCCCUUUUGUUGGGAAAGAAAAGCAGCAGGUUAAUACCCCGCUGUUCUGACGGUACCCAAAGAAUAAGCACCGGCUAACUUCGUG
Molecule: ribosomal RNA, 492 nt
Filed under: uncultured bacterium
Lineage: Bacteria
Description: partial 16S ribosomal RNA
Rfam family: Bacterial small subunit ribosomal RNA
Source: RNAcentral